RNAcentral lists this microRNA (20 nucleotides) under Bos taurus (domestic cattle). RNAcentral describes it as "bta-miR-1584-5p". The record is from miRBase by way of RNAcentral. Lineage: Eukaryota; Metazoa; Chordata; Mammalia; Artiodactyla; Bovidae.
UUGGGGCUGGGCUGGGGGCA